RNAcentral lists this ribosomal RNA (274 nucleotides) under uncultured bacterium. RNAcentral describes it as "partial 16S ribosomal RNA". It matches the Rfam family "Bacterial small subunit ribosomal RNA", at positions 523 to 796 of the family's 1533-position model. The record is from RNAcentral.
AUACGGAGGGUGCAAGCGUUACUCGGAAUCACUGGGCGUAAAGCGCGCGCAGGCGGGCUGAUAAGUUGGAUGUGAAAGCCUACGGCCCAACCGUAGAACUGCAUCCAAAACUGUCAGUCUAGAGUGUGGGAGAGGAAGAUGGAAUUAGUUGUGUAGGGGUAAAAUCCGUAGAGAUAACUAGGAAUACCAAAAGCGAAGGCAAUCUUCUGGAACACUACUGACGCUGAGGCGCGAAGGCGUGGGGAGCAAACAGGAUUAGAAACCCCAGUAGUCC